AAAGACCCGAAACGUCAAUUUUUUAUAUCUUUAAAAAAUCACUAAAAAACCAAUUUCGAAACAGAAUAGACCUAAAAUCAAGAACAUUAAGAUGCAUUAACUUAAGUUAGCGGGGACAAAUAAUUUUUUUUUACUAAAUCGUUCGUUCGUAGUUUGUUUUUCAUCAAAUGUGAUUUUUUUAUAAAUUAUUAUCAAAAUUUUGGCCUUAACCCAGCUCUUAAGCAUCAUGGUCCAAUUAUGAUGUCUGCGCAUGCGCGCUUAUACAAGAUUACGCGGUUCAUUUGAAUCUCGUUCGUAGCAAUCAACAUGAAGAAUAAUUUAUUGAGAUUGAAGAUGUGUGAGAAGUAAACAUUGUUUCAUUCUUAUUAUUUAUUCUUAGUCAUAAUUUGAAGUCUGUAGAAGUUUUUAUCGAAUUUUGAAUUCUUUUAUUGAAUUUAUUGAUACUACAUAGCUAUACUUUCUAAAUAAAAGUAAAGUUUA
This is a long non-coding RNA of Diorhabda carinulata, 480 nucleotides long. RefSeq lists it as uncharacterized. NCBI's taxonomy places the organism in Eukaryota, Metazoa, Arthropoda, Insecta, Coleoptera, Chrysomelidae. The transcript has 2 exons. The record is from RefSeq and is a predicted model, not a curated record.